Acanthosepion pharaonis is the source of this 113-nucleotide non-coding RNA. The record is from the annotation of a GenBank genome assembly. NCBI's taxonomy places the organism in Eukaryota, Metazoa, Mollusca, Cephalopoda, Sepiida, Sepiidae.
UUACGGCUAUAUCACGUUGAAACAACGGUUCCUGUACGAUCACCGAAGUUAAGCAACGUCGACCCUAGUCAGUAACUAGAUGGGUGACAGCUUGGGAAUAUCAGGUGCUGUAA